CAGGGUUGCAAGACUCCCUAAACCAUUGUGAACCUACCUUCUACCGUUGCUUCGGCGGGCGGGCCCAGCGCCCCCCCCGGCCCCCCGCGGGCGCCCGCCGGAGGAUACCCAAACUCUUGACAUUAGUGGCCUCUCUGAGUAUUCUUUACUGAAUAAGUCA
Molecule: unclassified non-coding RNA, 160 nt
Filed under: soil metagenome
Description: partial internal transcribed spacer 1
Source: RNAcentral